GACGAACGCUGGCGGCGUGCCUAAUACAUGCAAGUCGAACGAGAGCGCCCGGUGCUUGCACUGGUCAAUCUAGUGGCGAACGGGUGAGUAACACGUGGGUAACCUGCCCAUCAGAGGGGGAUAACAUCCGGAAACGGAUGCUAAAACCGCAUAGGUCUUCGAACCGCAUGGUUUGAAGAGGAAAAGAGGCGCAAGCUUCUGCUGAUGGAUGGACCCGCGGUGCAUUAGCUAGUUGGUGAGGUAACGGCUCACCAAGGCCGUGAUGCAUAGCCGACCUGAGAGGGUGAUCGGCCACAUUGGGACUGAGACACGGCCCAAACUCCUACGGGAGGCAGCAGUAGGGAAUCUUCCGCAAUGGACGCAAGUCUGACGGAGCAACGCCGCGUGAGUGAAGAAGGUUUUCGGAUCGUAAAACUCUGUUGUUAGAGAAGAACAAGUGCUAGAGUAACUGUUAGCGCCCUGACGGUAUCUAACCAGAAAGCCACGGCUAACUACGUG
Molecule: ribosomal RNA, 498 nt
Filed under: uncultured bacterium
Lineage: Bacteria
Description: partial 16S ribosomal RNA
Rfam family: Bacterial small subunit ribosomal RNA
Source: RNAcentral